ACUGUUGUGUUUUAGCGUUCGGUGGUCGCAUUUAUUAACUUAGGCCUACUAUAACAUUUUUUAUUUGGUUUGAGUUAAAAUAAUUUAAUGACAGAGUAGGCCUAAUCCGUGUCGUGUUAUUUGUGCAGGAGGCCUAAUGCUUAAUUGCGUCAAAUGUUUACAAUAUAUAUGACUUAAAAAUUUAAAUCGUAAAGCUAAAUAGCCUAGUAGCAUAGGCCUAAGCGUAAGUUAUUAUUACAAUGACAAGUGCGAAAUCAAAUGGUGCUACGGUUCUCUGGCCAUCCAUAUGUUUAUCAUGGGUGAAUUUAUUUGAAAUAGAAACACUAUCCAACAUAUCAUCAAUCAGGAAUACAAGUUUUGUUGUGGAAACAAUCCUAACCAUAUUUAAAUCCUGUAGAACGGAAGAAGUCUCCUUUAAAUCUGUUGACUACUUGGCUGUGAAAUAUAUAAAGGAAUUCUUCCCAGAAAUAAUCAAGGAGAAGAAAUUCUAUUUAAAAAAUGAAGAUGAUGCCCUGAUUUUAAUCGCCCUUCUUAUGUACUCAACAUGUAUCAAGUUAAAGAUUGACGAAUUUGUCACAAAAACCUGUGCAAUCAAGUUGAAAAAUAAUCAUGAAGAGAUACUUAAGCGAUUUUUUGAGUUGAUGCUCAAAAUUGAAAACGGAAAUUUUACAAGAAAAACCAUAAUGAAUACCAUCCAGCAGUGCUUUGAGCCUGAGGUUGUACCUGUUGGAAGAGCAUCUCUCUCACCUUCACAAAAGAAUUGUCUUAAAGAAUUUCUUAGGUCACCAUCUCUCGAAGAAAAAUACAAAAAGAACAAAGAGGUAAAUGAUGUCAGACAUCUUAAUCAAUUACUUCAAGAGGAAAACGCUGAAUUGUUGUCAGAACGAGACUUUCUGUCAACAAAGAAUCAACAACUUGAUUCAUCUGUACAAAAGCUUCAAAUUCAGCUGAGCGAAAAAACUCAAGAAAUUAUUUCCUUAAAGAAAGAGUUGAAGCUGCAUGAAGACAAAGGCGCCCCACAAAAUGCACUCAAUAAAAUUGAAAACCAGUUGAAAGAAGAACUUAAUCAACUUCAAAAAGAAUUGAAAGAAAUGGAAUCAUUUGCAAUCAUCAUGCAUGAUCAUUUUCGGAAAGAAAAAGAAAAAUACAUUUGGCUGGAAGAAGAGGUUUCCCAUUUUGAAGAAACUAAGAAAAAACUCCAAGAUGAACUCCAAUCCAAUGCAGAAAAAAUAAGACAACUCGAAGAAGUACAAAAGAACCUCCAAGAACAACUUCAUUCCAAGUGUUUGAUGAUUGAAAAUACAACAGCUGCAUUUAAUGAACUAAGGAAUCAAUUGGACAGUUGUCAAGCAGAACUGAAAGUUCUAACUGGUGAAGGAAAGCAAUUAAGGACCAAGAACGAAACCUUGAAACAAGAUCUAUCGACAAGCUUGGUUAAAUACAUGGAGCUAGAAGUCCAGUUUACUGACUCUUUGAAAAAUCUUGCUCAUCUUAGGUCUGUUAUUGCUGAUAAAGAAAAUGAGAUUGAACAUAUGAAAAUUACGAUUGGAAGUUUAACAGAAGAGAACAAUGAUUGCCAGUCAACAAAUGUGCAACAGGCGGAGCAGAUCAAGAAACAUAAAGCAACUGAGAAGAAACUCCAAGACGAUCUGCAGUCUAAGAGUGUAACUAUUGAAAAUACAACCAGUGCUCUAAAUGAACUAAAGGAGCAACUGAAAGUUGGCAAAGAAGAGUUGAAGAGUCAGAGAAGCCAAGUGAAGAAGUUGCAAACUAAGUGUGAGAAUACAGAGCAUGACCUGUCUGUACAGGUGGCCAAGCGUAAAGAGUUGGAAAUUGAAUUGUCAAACUCUUUAAAUCAUAUAACUAAACUGAACACCACAAUUGGUGAGAAAGACAGACAGAUUGAUCAAGUGAACGAGUCAAUAGAAACUUUGUCAGAAAAGAACAAGUCCUAUGAAUUGAAAGUCAAAGAACUGGUUGAUGUAAUUAAGGAACUCGAACUCAGCGGAAACAAGCUCCAAGACAUUAUAAAUUCAAAAACUUUAGAAGAAGAACACCUCCAAGAUAUGCUAAAUGCAAAGUCAAAAUUUAAAUCCAAACAUAUCAGAGCGAAUUACAGGGAAAAACUUCAGUAUUGAACAGAUUUAAGGAAGAAUUGGAGUCAAAGUGUGUUCCAAUAGACUUUCUGCAAAGUAAUUUACAGUCAAGGUCUUCAGAUGGGGAAAAACUUCAAAGCGAGUUACAUGCAAAGUCUUUGGAAAUUGAAAAACUUCAACUUGAUUUAUUGUCCAACUCCUCGAGAUAAACUACAAGGCGAAUUGAAAACUACGAUUUCACAAAGUCAAGAAUAUGAAAAUGAAUUACAGUCAAAAAUUUUGGAAAUAGAAAAUCUACAGCCUCAGUUGAAAUCAAACUGUUACACAAUGGAGAGUCUUGAAAAUACUUUGCAGUCAAAGAGUGCAGAGGUUGAUAAAUUACAAAGUGAUUUACAGACAAAAUCUUCUGAUUUGGAUAAAGUUCAAUCAGAAUGUGUGUCAAAAUCUUUAGAGGUUGAAAGUGUUAAAAGUACAAUGAACAAUCUUCGUAAUCAAAUCACAGCAAAUGAAGAGGAAAUUGAAUCGUUGUCAAACCAAGUUUUAGAGGUAAAAGUCAAAAGUUUUGAGAAGCGAGAUUUGGAAUAUAAUGGUGUAUUGGAGCAGCUGAUGGAGUGUCGUGGAGUCAUUGAAGAGCUUUAUAACACAAUUGAUGAAAAAGAUAAGCGCAUUCAUCAACUUGACUCAACAGUUUUGGCUCUGUCCAAGGAAAGAACGGAGCUACAAUCAACCAUCUUUUUACAAAACAUAUCUACUCCGGACAGACGAAGGUGGAGUUUUUUUGGCAAACUUGUCAAAAAGGAACCAUCUGAGUAAACCUCAGUGCUGAUAACAUUGCACUCUUAUGUUAUUUCACUUUUUAAGCAAGUCUUGUCUGCCUUUAAAAUUGUUAACAAAGCUAUUAUCCAAAUUAGCAUAGGUUUUAAAAUUGAAAAGAACGUGUAUUGUUUUAUCCUACUAUAAAAUUGUUGUGAUUAUGUAAACUUGCAAACCACAUAGUACCCUAUGUGAUUGUGUUCUGUGAUAUAAUAAAAUUUAUU
Molecule: RNA transcript, 3133 nt
Organism: Macrosteles quadrilineatus (aster leafhopper)
Lineage: Eukaryota; Metazoa; Arthropoda; Insecta; Hemiptera; Cicadellidae
Gene name: coiled-coil domain-containing protein 186-like
Exons: 12
Source: RefSeq, a predicted model, not a curated record